UGUUAUGGUUAUUGGUUGUCUAGUUUUGCCAAGAGGAUCUCAUAGUGCUUGCUUGUUUGGGCGAAUUGAGUCAGUAGUAGUCCUACUGGAGCAGCUCAAGUCCUCUGAUUUUAUUGAUCAACAAGAAUACGAUGCCUGCAAAAUGAAAUAAAGGAGCUUUUCUGGAAGGUGAUGCUGCUGUUGCCGUCGCUGAGGAGGUGAAGAAGAACAACCAUGUAGUAAGAAAGUUGGAGAGAAGAAGAACAACCAUGUAGUAAGAAAGUUGGAGAAGUGUCAACAGAUUUGCACCCUUGACCAACAUUUGGAAGAGCAAUUUGGUGGUGGUCGUCUAUUGGCUUGUAUCUCAUCACGACCUGGACAGUGGCUGUGCUGAUGGGAUGGGAAAACAUUGGACAAUGAGUUGGAGGUUGUUGAGGGAAUGAAGCUAGACAGGGGCUACAUAUCCCCUUAUUUCAUUACCAACCAGAACAAUCAGAAAUGUGAAUUGGAAAAUCCUCUAAUCAUAAUCCAUGAGAAGAAAAUCUCAAGUAUUAAUGAUGUGGUUAAAGUAUUGGAGUUGGUUUUGCAGUUAUGAUUUCAGAUCUGUAGAUAACCUGUUGUUGCUGAUAUUGCUACACGGGAGGAGAACAGAACAAGUUGGAAAAUGUGCAAGAAGGGAGAGCUAACUCAUACAACGAAGAACAAAUUGAUGAAGUUAAGAUCAAAUUAGUAGAAUUUGUGAGCUCUCCAUUAUUUAUAAUUAUAGGUAGGAAGUAUGUAUGUAAUAGAGCAAAGAUUGGUUGACUAUGUAAUAACAAUUGAAUUGUCAAGUUUUAUGAAAGAAAUAAUUUUUGCUUA
Molecule: long non-coding RNA, 837 nt
Organism: Prunus dulcis (almond)
Lineage: Eukaryota; Viridiplantae; Streptophyta; Magnoliopsida; Rosales; Rosaceae
Exons: 5
Source: RefSeq, a predicted model, not a curated record